RNAcentral lists this ribosomal RNA (433 nucleotides) under uncultured bacterium. RNAcentral's name for it is "partial 16S ribosomal RNA". It matches the Rfam family "Bacterial small subunit ribosomal RNA", at positions 29 to 507 of the family's 1533-position model. The record is from RNAcentral.
AACGAACGCUGGCGGCAUGCCUAACACAUGCAAGUCGAACGAGACCUUCGGGUCUAGUGGCGCACGGGUGCGUAACGCGUGGGAACCUGCCCUUAGGUUCGGAAUAACUCCCCGAAAGGGGUGCUAAUACCGGAUAAUGUCUUCGGACCAACGAUUUAUCGCCUUUGGAUGGGCCCGCGUUGGAUUAGCUAGUUGGUAGGGUAAAAGCCUACCAAGGCGACGAUCCAUAGCUGGUCUGAGAGGAUGAUCAGCCACACUGGGACUGAGACACGGCCCAGACUCCUACGGGAGGCAGCAGUGGGGAGUAUUGGACAAUGGGCGAAAGCCUGAUCCAGCAAUGCCGCGUGAGUGAUGAAGGCCUUAGGGUUGUAAAGCUCUUUUACCCGGGAUGAUAAUGACAGUACCGGGAGAAUAAGCUCCGGCUAACUCCGUG